Long non-coding RNA from Cygnus atratus (black swan), 1187 nucleotides. RefSeq lists it as uncharacterized. Lineage: Eukaryota; Metazoa; Chordata; Aves; Anseriformes; Anatidae. The record is from RefSeq and is a predicted model, not a curated record. The transcript has 4 exons.
AAGAAAAACUCUUUAACUUCCACGCAGCCGACAGGCAGGCUUUUCUAAGAUCCUGUGGACCCACCACCGUACUGAUACAGUGCUAUAUUUUUAUUUAUCUAUGCAUACACAUGCACACAGGUGUGCGUGUGUACGUGUGUUUGUAUGUAUGUAUAUGGAGAGACAGAGAGAGAGAAAUUAAAGCUGCUGCUGUAGAGCGAGCUCCUCUAAAACAUCCUGCUCAUCAGAGUAGCUCUCCGCAUCGCUCUGUUAAAUACAGCCGGGCGGGAAAGCCAUCAUCAAUCAAUUUCGGGUAACAAGGAAGACUUGUUGAACACCUUGUUCUCCAGACCCCGGGAAGAUGCUGGGCUGCCGGAGCGUGGACGAGCCGGGAUUGUGCCCUGAACUUCACCCGCUUGGCAGCCGCUGUUCCUAAGCCAUUUCCCCUCUCCUCCCCUGCCUCUUUGCCUCCCGGACCGGCAGUCUGCUCUUUAAAGUUGAUCUGAAGGGGAAAGCAGAGACGAGCUUGUGCAUAGUUUGGAGGCUUCUGAUCCAUGAAAUAAUCAAGCCCACCAUAUCUCUGUAUCCCACUCUGGAAGAUCUGCCUACUUGGAGUUAAGAAGUUUAACAAGAGAGGCUUAUGCAUUUGUGAGGGCAUGGAUGCUGUGGAAGGAAAGAUUGGGUCUAACUUUUAGUUUCAGAGGAUCAAAUGCAACAUGCUGAAAGGGAAGACAGCUUUACCAACCCACUUCAAAGUAUGUGGAGCUGCAAACAGAAUGCUGGAAAGAUGUAAAGCUAAGGAAAACUCAGAAUGCUUGGGAAGAAAGAGAUCAUGGACAAGCUAUUCUUCUGUUAUUAAAAAAAGAAUAAAUGAAGCAGCUUCCCUAUUCCUGGUCAGCGAAGGAAUGUGUAUCUACUACCCUUAUUACUAAUGUACAAGAGGAUCUGUGUCUGCCUUCACCUGACCGCACAGUGUUGUCAGAGGGCUGCAUUUUACGGCUUCAUCACCAGCUUGCCAUGGUCUUUGAACAUAUCACAGUCAGGUGCUUCUCUAUAGGAAAGAAAGAGAACUGCGAACGCCAAGUGACAUGAAAUUGACGAUUUAUUUAUUUUUUAAAAGGCAUUGUGUUAAUAACAUGGAAAAACAGAGGCUGUAAUGAUCGCUAAUAAAGCACUAGUGUAUUAAUAAAGCUGCUUUGUGCAUUUCC